GAUGAACGCUAGCGGCAGGCCUAACACAUGCAAGUCGAACGGUAACAGCAGAGCUUGCUCUGGCUGACGAGUGGUGCACGGGUGCGUAACGCGUAUGCAACUUACCCCAAACUGGAGAAUAGCCUUUCGAAAGGAAGAAUAAUACUCCAUAGUAUUUCAAAGAGGCAUCUCUUUGUUCUUAAAGCUUCGGCGGUUUGGGAUGGGCAUGCGUUCUAUUAGUUAGUUGGUGAGGUAACGGCUCACCAAGACCACGAUAGAUAGGGGGCCUGAGAGGGUUAUCCCCCACACUGGUACUGAGACACGGACCAG
Molecule: ribosomal RNA, 309 nt
Filed under: uncultured bacterium
Lineage: Bacteria
Description: bacterial SSU rRNA
Rfam family: Bacterial small subunit ribosomal RNA
Source: RNAcentral